UGGAUGAACAUGCAUGUGAAAUGUGCCAGG
This 30-nucleotide non-coding RNA is filed under the name Rattus norvegicus (Norway rat). The record is from RNAcentral. Lineage: Eukaryota; Metazoa; Chordata; Mammalia; Rodentia; Muridae.